Non-coding RNA from Ornithorhynchus anatinus (platypus), 72 nucleotides. The record is from Rfam. NCBI's taxonomy places the organism in Eukaryota, Metazoa, Chordata, Mammalia, Monotremata, Ornithorhynchidae.
GGUAGCGUGGCUCACUGGAAAGAGCAUGGGCUUUGGAGUCAGAGGUCAUGGGUUCGAACCCCAGCUCUGCCA